UGCCAGCAGCCGCGGUAAGACGAACCGGACAAACGUUAUUCGGAAUUAUUGGGCUUAAAGGGUGCGUAGGCGGUGCUAUAAGUCAGGUGUGAAAUCCCUCAGCUUAACUGAGGAACUGCGCCCGAUACUGUAGCACUAGAGGGAGACAGAGGUGAGCGGAACUGAUGGUGGAGCGGUGAAAUGCGUUGAUAUCAUCAGGAACACCAGCGGCGAAGGCGGCUCACUGGGUCGAUAUUGACGCUGAGGCGCGAAGGCGUGGGUAGCGAACGGGAUUAGAUA
RNAcentral lists this ribosomal RNA (279 nucleotides) under uncultured bacterium. Its description in RNAcentral is "partial 16S ribosomal RNA". It matches the Rfam family "Bacterial small subunit ribosomal RNA", at positions 506 to 784 of the family's 1533-position model. The record is from RNAcentral.